Molecule: long non-coding RNA, 926 nt
Organism: Daphnia magna
Lineage: Eukaryota; Metazoa; Arthropoda; Branchiopoda; Diplostraca; Daphniidae
Exons: 2
Source: RefSeq, a predicted model, not a curated record
UGUGAAUAGGUCGAGUGCUGCAGUCGACACACGAGUUAUUAGUAGACAUAGCCUUUGAUAACUGUAAGCCGUCGUGAGCACGCCGAAGAAAAGUUGAACGCUAACUAGGUGUCACGCCGAGAUUGUCCAUUCAAUCGACCGCAGCAUAGCGACCAAAAUCUGGUGGUUUUCUGCAAAGACAAAUUUAUUUAGGCUACUCUUCCUCCCAAGAAUUUAAAUAAAGUUAGACCUUUUGCACGUGUUCAACCUUGGAAAAGGUUGUAAUUUAUGCAAAGGUCACUGAUCUUAGAAAAUGCUAUUCACUUGCUCACCCAUCCCCCCUAAACAUUUAGAAUCUUAUGCAAAUGACAGCAGCAAAAUUGAAAACAGUGGCAGCUUAUUGUUUACCCUCCCUUUGUCUGGCAACUGAAAAUACCAAAUGAUUCGACAUAAAUGCCUAUUAGUUUCCAAGGCCAUUGUUUUGUAUGGCCUUGUAUGGCCUAAUGACAACCACCAAUAGCAUUGAAACACGUGAGAAAACAGGUCAAUGUACGACAGCUUGCAACGUCACCACCAGAAAAACAAAUGGCUGAACAUAAAACUGGAAAUAGUUUUUCCACCGCGUGCGUGCAAAAUAGAUCCCAUCCAUAUAUUGUACUGUAUAUAUUUGUAAAUGAUUGUGGGAAGCUCCUGAUCUCGUUUGAUUGUUUUGGGUCUAGUUUCUAACCGUUUUUCAAGUGAACGAGCCUAUCGCUGUGAAUUACAUUUUCGUGGGACAUCGCGAAAAGAAUAACGAUCUUUGGCAAUUGGAGAACGUGAUUAAAUUUAUUGAUCGUGUUACAUCGUAUACAGGCCGUCAUGAAAUGAAAUUAGUGGCAUGCUAAUAACAAUUAGUCUUCCCUGCUGGAACGAGUCCUGAUGGAAUAAUAAACAUUGACUUUAUGCAA